AGUCAGGGUCAAGCCCUAGGUGUGAUGAGGACUGUGGCCCCGAGUGGUGGGCCCUGACCCCACCCCAUGAAGAAGAUUAGCUAGGGAUUUGAAUUAUUUGCACCAAUGAUCCCCUUCACUGGAGACAAUGACUGAGGCCUGAAUAUGUCAGGGAAGAGGGAGGUAGGGAGAAAAGCCAGAUCAAAACUUCUCAAAUGCCAACAUCUCUAACUCCAAAAAAGAAUGGGGU
RNAcentral lists this long non-coding RNA (229 nucleotides) under Homo sapiens (human). RNAcentral's name for it is "HSALNT0264749". Lineage: Eukaryota; Metazoa; Chordata; Mammalia; Primates; Hominidae. The record is from RNAcentral.